This 822-nucleotide ribosomal RNA is filed under the name marine sediment metagenome. RNAcentral's name for it is "bacterial SSU rRNA". It matches the Rfam family "Bacterial small subunit ribosomal RNA", at positions 8 to 844 of the family's 1533-position model. The record is from RNAcentral.
AGAGUUUGAUCCUGGCUCAGGACGAACGCUGGCGGCGUGCCUAACACAUGCAAGUCGAACGGAGAUGUUUAUUUCGGUAGACAUCUUAGUGGCGCACGGGUGAGUAACGCGUGAAUAACCUGACCCGAAGAGGGGGAUAACACCUGGAAACAAGUGCUAAUACCGCAUAAGACCACGGACCGGCAUCGGUCAGAGGUCAAAGGAGAAAUCCGCUUUGGGAGGGGUUCGCGUCCCAUUAGGUAGUUGGUGAGGUAACGGCCCACCAAGCCGACGAUGGGUAGCCGAGCUGAGAGGCUGAUCGGCCACACUGGAACUGAGACACGGUCCAGACUCCUACGGGAGGCAGCAGUGGGGAAUAUUGGGCAAUGGGCGCAAGCCUGACCCAGCAACGCCGCGUGAGGGAAGAAGGUUUUCGGAUUGUAAACCUCUGUCGCAGGGGACGAAGGAAGUGACGGUACCCUGUAAGAAAGCCCCGGCUAACUACGUGCCAGCAGCCGCGGUAAUACGUAGGGGGCGAGCGUUGUCCGGAAUUACUGGGCGUAAAGGGAGCGUAGGCGGUCGAUUAAGUUAGAUGUGAAACCCCCGGGCUUAACUUGGGGACUGCAUCUAAUACUGGUUGACUUAGAGUACAGGAGAGGGAAGCGGAAUUCCUAGUGUAGCGGUGAAAUGCGUAGAUAUUAGGAGGAACACCAGUGGCGAAGGCGGCUUUCUGGACUGACACUGACGCUGAGGCACGAAAGCGUGGGGAGCAAACAGGAUUAGAUACCCUGGUAGUCCACGCUGUAAACGAUGAAUACUAGGUGUCGGCUGUCAAAGGUCGGU